AUUAAGACUCAAAAAUAAAACAGAAACAAUCCAGUGAAAACAAGUCAUUUUCAUUUGAUGUCUUUAGAAAUGUCCACCCUUAUCCUCAGGAAUUCAGAAAUAGACUCCGACAGUACUGGUUUUUCCAUGUGACACCUCAGCAAAAACAUCUCUGGCCAAAACAGCUGGACCACAGGAGGUGAUUGAUUGUACGUCAGAUCAGAAUCAAUGAAACAAAUAGCCAUGUUGUAAUGGAGCUCUCUCAAGGGCUGAAACGUUGAAACACUUCUACCCAGCUAUCGGGUGAAAGUCAAAGCCUAUUCAAUUCGAAGAAAUAGCCCCUCAAGUUUAGUUUAUAUUUGUACUUCUAGCAGGCGACACUGGAUAAGUCACUUUGCAUACUGUUAGGGCUUAUUCUGAUAUUUUAAAACCUGACACAGGAACUAAGUUUCUGGAUCAAUGAGAUAAUGUGUUAACCAUAUUAAAGACUCUUCCUCCACACAGAAUACCGCCAAGAAGUAAACGUGUAUUAUGUCAGUGUUAAUUACAGUUAACCCAUUGUUCCUUUAUUAAAUGAAAUAGAACACGGGUGAGCCCACAAGGGCACAUCUCUGAAAUGCAAAUAACCUAUGGGAAGGAAAAUCCUGCUG
This is a long non-coding RNA of Talpa occidentalis (Iberian mole), 629 nucleotides long. RefSeq lists it as uncharacterized. The record is from RefSeq and is a predicted model, not a curated record. The transcript has 3 exons. NCBI's taxonomy places the organism in Eukaryota, Metazoa, Chordata, Mammalia, Eulipotyphla, Talpidae.